GAGUUUGAUCAUGGCUCAGGACGAACGCUGGCGGCGUGCCUAACACAUGCAAGUCGAGCGGAGGUAUAUACGAAGAAGUUUUCGGACGGAACUGUAUAUACUUUAGCGGCGGACGGGUGAGUAACGCGUGAGCAACCUGCCUUUCACAGGGGGAUAAGGCGGCGAAAGCCGCUCUAAUACCGCAUGAGACCACAGUGGUGAUGCUACAGGGGUCAAAGGAGCAAUCCGGUGAAAGAUGGGCUCGCGUCCGAUUAGGUAGUUGGUGGGGUAAUGGCCCACCAAGCCCGUGAUCGGUAGCCGGCCUGAGAGGGUGAACGGCCACAUUGGAACUGAGACACGGUCCAAACUCCUACGGGAGGCAGCAGUGGGGAAUAUUGGGCAAUGGGGGGAACCCUGACCCAGCAACGCCGCGUGAGGGAAGAAGGUUUUCGGAUUGUAAACCUCUGUUCUUGGGGAAGAGUGAAAGACGGUACCCAAGGAGGAAGCCCCGGCUAACUACGUGCCAGCAGCCGCGGUAAUACGUAGGGGGCGAGCGUUGUCCGGAAUGAUUGGGCGUAAAGGGCGCGUAGGCGGCUUUGCAAGUCAGUAGUGGAAGUCCAUUUUUCAAGGAUGGAAGUGCUACAGAAACUGCGGAGCUUGAGUGCAGGAGAGGUUAUCGGAAUUCCCGGUGUAGCGGUGAAAUGCGUAGAGAUCGGGAGGAACACCAGUGG
Molecule: ribosomal RNA, 710 nt
Filed under: uncultured bacterium
Lineage: Bacteria
Description: bacterial SSU rRNA
Rfam family: Bacterial small subunit ribosomal RNA
Source: RNAcentral